AUGUAGCAAAUCAAGAGUUGUUUAAAGGGGGUACAGCCCCUUUAAAAAAGAACACAAUCUCUUCUAGCGGAUAGUUCCCUAUGACACCCAACAACUGUGGGCCUUUAAGCAGCCAUCAACAAAGAGUGCGUCAAAGCUCUACCAUCAAAAAUCCAAAGACAGAAUGAAUCCCUUAGCCCUAACAGGUUAAUCUAUAAUAAUAGAAGAAUUAAUGCUAAAAUGAGUAACUAGGGGACUCCCUCUUAAGCGCAACGUUACAUACCCAUAUUAUUAACAGACAAGUCAAUACAACAACUCCAACAAGACUAAAUAUUACUUACCCUGUUAACCCAACCUAGGAACGCCCAUUAGAAAGAUUAAAAUCUGUAAAAGGAAUUAGGCAAACUCAAGGCCCGACUGUUUACCAAAAACAUAGCCUUCAGCUAACCAAGUAUUGAAGGUGAUGCCUGCCCAGUGACAUCAUGUUUAACGGCCGCGGUAUCCUAACCGUGCGAAGGUAGCGCAAUCAAUUGUCCCAUAAAUCGAGACUUGUAUGAAUGGCUAAACGAGGUCUUAACUGUCUCUUACAGAUAAUCAGUGAAAUUGAUCUUCCUGUGCAAAAGCAGGAAUAAACACAUAAGACGAGAAGACCCUGUGGAACUUAAAAAUCAACGACCACUAUGUAUGAACCAAAACCUACUAGGCCCAUUACCAUCAAAACAUGGCCCGCAUUUUUCGGUUGGGGCGACCUUGGAGAAAAACAAAUCCUCCAAAAAUAAGACCAUACCUCUUAACCAAGAGCAACACCUCAACGUACUAAUAGUAACCAGACCCAAUACAAUUUAUCAAUGGACCAAGCUACCCCAGGGAUAACAGCGCAAUCUCCUCCAAGAGCCCAUAUCGACGAGGAGGUUUACGACCUCGAUGUUGGAUCAGGACAUCCUAGUGGUGCAGCCGCUACUAAGGGUUCGUUUGUUCAACGAUUAAUAGUCCUACGUGAUCUGAGUUCAGACCGGAGCAAUCCAGGUCGGUUUCUACCUAUGACAGACUUUCCCUAGUACGAAAGGACCGGAAAAGUAGGGCCAAUACUACAGCAUGCCCUCCGCCUAAGCAAUGAACUAAACUAAAUUACCAAAGGCAGCACCAACCCAUGACACAUCCUAGAAAAGGACCGCUAGCGUGGCAGAGCUGGUAAAUGCAA
Molecule: ribosomal RNA, 1180 nt
Filed under: Ardenna gravis (Great shearwater)
Lineage: Eukaryota; Metazoa; Chordata; Aves; Procellariiformes; Procellariidae
Description: partial 16S ribosomal RNA
Rfam family: Bacterial large subunit ribosomal RNA
Source: RNAcentral